AGAGUUUNGNNNCCCNGUCAGAACGAACGCUGGCGGCAUGCCUAACACAUGCAAGUCGAACGAACCCUUCGGGGUUAGUGGCGCACGGGUGCGUAACGCGUGGGAACCUGCCUUUAGGUUCGGAAUAACUCAGAGAAAUUUGAGCUAAUACCGGAUGAUGUCUUCGGACCAAAGAUUUAUCGCCUUUAGAUGGGCCCGCGUUAGAUUAGAUAGUUGGUGGGGUAAUGGCCUACCAAGUCGACGAUCUAUAGCUGGUCUGAGAGGAUGAUCAGCCACACUGGGACUGAGACACGGCCCAGACUCCUACGGGAGGCAGCAGUGGGGAAUAUUGGACAAUGGGCGAAAGCCUGAUCCAGCAAUGCCGCGUGAGUGAUGAAGGCCUUAGGGUUGUAAAGCUCUUUUACCAGGGAUGAUAAUGACANACCUGGAGANAAGUNCCGCACCCCG
RNAcentral lists this ribosomal RNA (447 nucleotides) under Erythrobacter sp. TJD709. Its description in RNAcentral is "bacterial SSU rRNA". It matches the Rfam family "Bacterial small subunit ribosomal RNA", at positions 1 to 505 of the family's 1533-position model. Lineage: Bacteria; Pseudomonadati; Pseudomonadota; Alphaproteobacteria; Sphingomonadales; Erythrobacteraceae. The record is from RNAcentral.